RNAcentral lists this ribosomal RNA (473 nucleotides) under uncultured bacterium. RNAcentral's name for it is "bacterial SSU rRNA". It matches the Rfam family "Bacterial small subunit ribosomal RNA", at positions 337 to 802 of the family's 1533-position model. The record is from RNAcentral.
UCCUACGGGAGGCAGCAGUGGGGAAUUUUGGACAAUGGGCGCAAGCCUGAUCCAGCCAUGCCGCGUGCGGGAAGAAGGCCUUCGGGUUGUAAACCGCUUUUGUCAGGGAAGAAAAGGUUCUGGCUAAUACCUGGGACUCAUGACGGUACCUGAAGAAUAAGCACCGGCUAACUACGUGCCAGCAGCCGCGGUAAUACGUAGGGUGCAAGCGUUAAUCGGAAUUACUGGGCGUAAAGCGUGCGCAGGCGGUUAUGCAAGACAGAGGUGAAAUCCCCGGGCUCAACCUGGGAACUGCCUUUGUGACUGCAUGGCUAGAGUACGGUAGAGGGGGAUGGAAUUCCGCGUGUAGCAGUGAAAUGCGUAGAUAUGCGGAGGAACACCGAUGGCGAAGGCAAUCCCCUGGACCUGUACUGACGCUCAUGCACGAAAGCGUGGGGAGCAAACAGGAUUAGAUACCCCAGUAGUCCAAGCCG